CUUUCUUUGCUGGCGACCGGCGCACGGGUGAGUAUCACGUAUCCAACCUGCCCUUUACUCGGGGAUAGCCUUUCGAAAGAAAGAUUAAUACCCGAUAGCAUAAUGAUUCCGCAUGGUUUCAUUAUUAAAGGAUUCCGGUAAAGGAUGGGGAUGCGUUCCAUUAGGUUGUUGGUGGGGUAACGGCCCACCAAGCCUUCGAUGGAUAGGGGUUCUGAGAGGAAGGUCCCCCACAUUGGAACUGAGACACGGUCCAA
RNAcentral lists this ribosomal RNA (254 nucleotides) under uncultured bacterium. Its description in RNAcentral is "partial 16S ribosomal RNA". It matches the Rfam family "Bacterial small subunit ribosomal RNA", at positions 79 to 334 of the family's 1533-position model. The record is from RNAcentral.